RNAcentral lists this ribosomal RNA (463 nucleotides) under uncultured bacterium. Its description in RNAcentral is "partial 16S ribosomal RNA". It matches the Rfam family "Bacterial small subunit ribosomal RNA", at positions 28 to 507 of the family's 1533-position model. The record is from RNAcentral.
GACGAACGCUGGCGGCGUGCUUAACACAUGCAAGUCGAACGGAAAGGCCUUUUAGGGGGUACUCGAGUGGCGAACGGGUGAGUAACACGUGGGUGAUCUGCCCUGCACUCUGGGAUAAGCCUGGGAAACUGGGUCUAAUACCGGAUAGGACCGCACUUUAGUGUGUGUGGUGGAAAGUUUUUUCGGUGUAGGAUGAGCCCGCGGCCUAUCAGCUUGUUGGUGGGGUAAUGGCCUACCAAGGCGGCGACGGGUAGCCGGACUGGGAGGUUGGUCGGCCACAUUGGGACUGAGAGAAGGCCCAGACUCCUAAGGGGGGCAGCAGGGGGGAAUAUUGCACAAUGGGCGCAAGCCUGAUGCAGCGACGCCGCGUGGGGGAUGACGGCCUUCGGGUUGUAAACUCCUUUCGCCAGGGAAGAAGCGUUUUGUGACGGUACCUGGAGAAGAAGCACCGGCUAACUACGUG